RNAcentral lists this ribosomal RNA (832 nucleotides) under uncultured bacterium. RNAcentral describes it as "bacterial SSU rRNA". It matches the Rfam family "Bacterial small subunit ribosomal RNA", at positions 60 to 890 of the family's 1533-position model. The record is from RNAcentral.
AGUCGCACGGUGACAGGACUUCGGUCGCUGACGAGUGGCGCACGGGUGAGUAACGCGUGGGUUACCUGCCCAUAAGUGGGGAACAACUUGGAGAAAUCCAAGCUAAUACCGCAUAAUACCUUCGGGUUAAAGAGGGGGAUCUUCGGACCUCUCGCUUAUGGAUGGUCCCGCGUCUGAUUAGCUAGUUGGUAGGGUAAUGGCCUACCAAGGCAAUGAUCAGUAGCUGGUCUGAGAGGAUGAUCAGUCACACUGGAACUGAGACACGGUCCAGACUCCUACGGGAGGCAGCAGUGGGGAAUUUUGCACAAUGGGCGAAAGCCUGAUGCAGCGACGCCGCGUGCGGGAAGAAGGCCUUCGGGUUGUAAACCGCUUUCAACAGGGAAGAAGGAAUGAGAGCUAAUACCUCUCUGCCUUGACGGUACCUGUAGAAGAAGCACCGGCUAAUUUCGUGCCAGCAGCCGCGGUAAUACGAAAGGUGCAAGCGUUGUUCGGAUUUACUGGGCGUAAAGAGAUCGUAGGUGGCUUGUUAAGUCGGAUGUGAAAUCCCGGGGCUCAACCCCGGAACUGCAUCCGAUACUGGCAGGCUUGAGUUUGGGAGGGGUAAGCGGAAUUCCGUGUGUAGCAGUGAAAUGCGUAGAUAUACGGAGGAACACCUGAGCGAAAGCGGCUUACUGGACCAAUACUGACACUGAGAUCGAAAGCGUGGGUAGCAAACAGGAUUAGAUACCCUGGUAGUCCACGCCCUAAACGAUGUCAACUAGCCGUUGCGGGUAUCGACCCCUGCAGUGGCGCAGCUACGCGAUAAGUGACGCCUGGGGGGAGUACGGUCGCA